Molecule: long non-coding RNA, 206 nt
Filed under: Lathyrus oleraceus (garden pea)
Lineage: Eukaryota; Viridiplantae; Streptophyta; Magnoliopsida; Fabales; Fabaceae
Description: Pisum sativum (pea) long non-coding RNA (PSAT_LNC037764)
Source: RNAcentral
AAGGUCUUGUGUUCACUAUCUCAUGGAACCAAAAGAUUAGUUAAGCCUCUAUAUAAUUAUUGUGUCAUAUAUUAGUUAAGUGUCUCAAGUGAUUAUUAAUAUAUUGUGCUAUAUAUUAAUAAUUAUUGUAAUUGCAAAGGUCUUGUGUUCCUCGAUAUUAAUCAGAGAGAGUCUCAAAUGAUUAGUUAAGCGUCUGAAAAUUAUUU